This 271-nucleotide long non-coding RNA is filed under the name Homo sapiens (human). RNAcentral's name for it is "non-protein coding lnc-SELENOW-2:1". The record is from RNAcentral. Lineage: Eukaryota; Metazoa; Chordata; Mammalia; Primates; Hominidae.
CGGACUCAGUGGUCGGCGGAAACGUGAUGAUCGCAGAGUGGCCAAGCUUGUUUCUCCAGGGGGCGCUCUUCUGAGGAUAUUUGGGCUCCCUCCGGAGUCGCGCUGUCUUGGGCCGCCUGAAGGUGGGUGACCUGCGGAUCUUCUCUUCUGUGUGGCUGUGGACGGCUUUCAACACUGCUUUCUUGGCCUUUAAAGCCUUCGGUUUGGCUUGGGCUUUAGGAGAGGCAGGAGCUUCCUUCGCUUUCGGCAGCAUCUUGUGAAAAGACAAGGU